This 253-nucleotide ribosomal RNA is filed under the name uncultured bacterium. Its description in RNAcentral is "partial 16S ribosomal RNA". It matches the Rfam family "Bacterial small subunit ribosomal RNA", at positions 524 to 776 of the family's 1533-position model. The record is from RNAcentral.
UACGGGGGGGGCAAGCGUUGUUCGGAAUUACUGGGCGUAAAGGGCUCGUAGGCGGCCAACUAAGUCAGACGUGAAAUCCCCAGGCUCAACCUGGGAACUGCGUCUGAUACUGGAUGGCUUGAAUCCGGGAGAGGGAUGCAGAAUUCCAGGUGUAGCGGUGAAAUGCGUAGAUAUCGGGAGGAACAUCAGUGGCGAAGGCGGCCUUCUGGUCCAGUACUGACACUCAAGUGCGAAAGCGUGGGGAGCAAACAGG